RNAcentral lists this ribosomal RNA (440 nucleotides) under uncultured bacterium. RNAcentral's name for it is "partial 16S ribosomal RNA". It matches the Rfam family "Bacterial small subunit ribosomal RNA", at positions 338 to 795 of the family's 1533-position model. The record is from RNAcentral.
CCUACGGGAGGCUGCAGUGGGGAAUAUUGCACAAUGGGGGAAACCCUGAUGCAGCGACGCCGCGUGAGUGAAGAAGUAAUUCGUUAUGUAAAGCUCUAUCAGCAGGGAAGAAAAUGACGGUACCUGAGUAAGAAGCCCCGGAUAACUACGUGCCAGCAGCCGCGGUAAUACGUAGGGGGCAAGCGUUAUACGGAUUUACUGGGUGUAAAGGGGGCGUAGACGGCAGUGCAAGUCUGGAGGGAAAGGCGGGGUCUCAAACCCCGGAGUGCUGUUGAAACUGUACGGCUGGAGUGCAGGAGAGGUAAGUGGAAUGCCUAGUGUAGCGGUGAAAUGCGUAGAUAUUAGGAGGAACACCAGUGGCGAAGGCGGCUUACUGGACUGUAACUGACGUUGAGGCUCGAAAGCGUGGGGAGCAAACAGGAUUAGAUACCCGUGUAGUC